Molecule: ribosomal RNA, 376 nt
Filed under: uncultured bacterium
Lineage: Bacteria
Description: bacterial SSU rRNA
Rfam family: Bacterial small subunit ribosomal RNA
Source: RNAcentral
GACAGAGGGUGCAAACGUUGUUCGGAAUUACUGGGCGUAAAGCGCGUGUAGGCGGCAAGGCAAGUCGGGUGUGAAAGCCCUGGGCUCAACCCAGGAAGUGCAUUCGAUACUGCCCAGCUAGAGUCCCGGAGAGGAUGGUGGAACUCUCGGUGUAGAGGUGAAAUUCGUAGAUAUCGAGAAGAACACCGGUGGCGAAGGCGGCCAUCUGGACGGUGACUGACGCUGAGACGCGAAAGCGUGGGGAGCAAACAGGAUUAGAUACCCUGGUAGUCCACGCCGUAAACGAUGGGUGCUAGGUGUCACGGGUAUUGACCCCUGUGGUGCCGAAGCUAACGCAUUAAGCACCCCGCCUGGGAAGUACGGCCGCAAGGCUAAA